GGACCUGGCCACACUAGUUGUACCUUGAAGCUCAGUGGCUGCCUCAGAAGGUAUUGUCCUACAGACAGCGGACACAAUGGGACUGAACAAAACCAACACAAAUGUUUAAUUCCCCCACGCAUUUAGGGAAUAGGACGAAAUCAGGCAUGAUCUCACAAUAUCAAACAGGCUGAUGGAAUAGGAGUGUAUUUUCAAUAAAUUGAAAAAAUUCACCAGUUCAUUAUUCUCUUUGGGUUUGCAUACCAUAGCCACUGGCUGGCCCUAUGGCAGAUGGCAACAGAGCACACUUCAUCCACCCCUACACAUUCAUAAUGGUUCUUUUAUAGGGGUGUGUGUGUGUGUGUGUGUGUGGCUGUGGGUGCGUACAUAUGUAUGCAGGCUGUUGUGUGUGUGUUGUGUGUGUGUGUGUGCGCGCAUGCAUGUGUGCGUUCAUAAUAUUGCCUUUAUGGGUGUGUGAGUGUGAGUGUGUGCACUUAUAAUGGCAGUCUUUAUGGCUAAUAGCAGUGCCACUGGGCUCCGCGGACAUUAAAAAAGAGCCUGGCUGACCCCAGGAUAAACACAGGCUGGUAAAACUCAAUGUGUGUGUGGCUGUCUGUGUGGGUGUCUAUGUAUGUACAUAUGUAAUAUAUAUAUAUGUGUGUAGAAGGGAUGUGUAUUUGCGUAUGUGUGUGUGAGGGUGAUGUGGAGAGUGCCCUGCUGUUGCUGCCCACAGCCCACCAGGUCGCACAGCUAUUUCUGUCUCGACCUUUUAACACCCGCCUAUAAAAAUCCAACCGACAAUUCCAUUUUCUCCAGAGGAUCUGACGUUUUGCGUCCUUUGUAACCACCGGGAUUCUUUUCUUAGUCCCUGUCAUGAACGGCUGAAUGACGUGCGCGUUUGCUCUUGAAGAGGAAAACCUUUUGGACCUGGAUGUUGAUCAAAAUGCUCGAUUUCCUGAUAAACGAUUUGACCUUCAACAGCCUCGUACCCUCAUUACCUCCACCCGUCACAGCCAGAAGACAACUCUUUCUGAGAACUCUGGGGCGAAGGUUAAAGAAGUAUUAAAAAUUGGUGGCCAACGUCUGUCCUACCACAGACAUGAAGAACAACACCAGUUGUACUAUCUGUGGUGUGUUUCCUCUGGGCAACCUCAGGGAAAGAUGUGGGGGGCCUGGGAGAGGUUACUUUCGGAAGCCUGUUAAGUUCCCAACCCCAGGUACGAUUGUGACAGUGACACCUUCCUGAAUACGGGCCAAUUCCAGCCUGUUAAGAGGAUCAGUUUCCCAUUCCCGUCCUGACAUAAAUAACAACCAACCAAGUGCCACAGAGACCACAAGGCCGGGACGCCUCUAGUGCAAAGGUCACAGUUCAACAUGGUACACCAUGACUCUGCCACGCUGCAGAGCACCUCUAUCCUCCCACAGCACAGCCCUCUGACCCGAGCACCUAUAUCCUCCCACAGCACAGCCCUCUGACCCGAGCACCUAUAUCCUCCCACAGCACAGCCCUCUGACCAGAGCACCUCUAUCCUCCCACAGCACCGCCCUCUGACCAGAGCACCUCUAUCCUCCCACAGCACAGCCCUCUGACCAGAGCACCUCUAUCCUCCCACAGCACAGCCCUCUGACCAGAGCACCUCUAUCCUCCCACAGGACAGCCCUCUGACCAGAGCACCUCUAUCCUCCCACAGCACAGCCCUCUGACCAGAGCACCUCUAUCCUCCCACAGCACAGCCCUCUGACCAGAGCACCUCUAUCCUCCCACAGGACAGCCCUCUGACCAGAGCACCUCUAUCCUCCCACAGCACAGCCCUCUGACCAGAGCACCUCUAUCCUCCCACAGCACAGCCCUCUGACCAGAGCACCUCUAUCCUCCAACAGCACAGCCCUCUGACCAGAGCUCUCAGUUCCUGAAACCUGCUAGCUUUACGCCUGGAAAAUAAACAGGAUCAGAAUG
Esox lucius (northern pike) is the source of this 1936-nucleotide long non-coding RNA. RefSeq lists it as uncharacterized. The transcript has 4 exons. Lineage: Eukaryota; Metazoa; Chordata; Actinopteri; Esociformes; Esocidae. The record is from RefSeq and is a predicted model, not a curated record.